CCAAAGGAAGAAGCAUUACCGUAAGGAGAUGUGGACAUAUAAGAAGUGAGAAUGCCGGUAUGAGUAUCGAAAAGAAAGGUGAGAAUCCUUUCCACCGAAAGCCCGAGGGUUCCUGAGCAACGAUCGUCGACUCAGGGUAAGUCGGGACCUAAGCCGAGGCGGAGACGCAUAGGCGAUGGACAACAGGUUGAAAUUCCUGUACCGGAUGGAGUCAAUUGAGCGAAGGAGCGACGCAGGAGGGCACAUGAUCGCGCGGCUGGAAGAGCGCGUCCAAGUGCGUAUGCGUAGAGGGAGGCAAAUCCCCCUUUACAGAAGCAGAGACAUGAUGGGGAGUUAAAGGAGACUUUGACGAACUCAUGGAUCCCACACUGCCAAGAAAAACUUCUAGCGAGACGAAAUCCGCCCGUACCGUAAACCGACACAGGUAGGCGGGGAGAGAAUCCUAAGGUGCGCGGGAAAACCCUCGUUAAGGAACUCGGCAAAUUGCAUCCGUAACUUCGGGAGAAGGAUGACCCUGAGUAGGCGAAAGGGAGAAACCCCCGGAACAGAAAAAGGUGGCAGAAAAGAGGCCCAAGCAACUGUUUACCAAAAACACAGGUGCCUGCGAAAACGAAAGCUGAAGUAUAGGUGCUGACGCCUGCCCGGUGCUGGAAGGUUAAGGAGAGAGGUCAGCGAAAGCGAAGCUUUGAACUGAAGCCCCAGUGAACGGCGGUCGUAACAAUAACGGUCCUAAGGUAGCGAAAUUCCUUGUCGGGUAAGUUCCGACCCGCAUGAAAGGCGUAAUGAUUUGGGCACUGUCUCAACGAGGGGCCCGGUGAAAUUGAAAUACCUGUGAAGAUGCAGGUUACCCGCGACUGGACAGAAAGACCCCAUGGAGCUUCACUGCAGCUUGAGAUUGAAUCCCGGUGACAUAUGCACAGGAUAGGUGGGAGGCUAAGAAGUAAUGCCUUUGGGUGUUACAGAGCCGAUGUUGGGAUACCACCCUUAUGUUGCUGAGAUUCUAACACGGAGACUAACAACCUCGUGGACCAUCUCAGGCAGGCGGUUUGACUGGGGCGGUCGCCUCCUAAAAUGUAACGGAGGCGCCCAAAGGUUCCCUCAGGCCGGACAGAAACCGGCCGAAGAGUGCAAAGGCAGAGGGGAGCUUGACUGCGAGACAGACAAGUCGAGCAGAGACGAAAGUCGGGCUUAGUGAUCCGGUGGUACUGAGUGGAAAGGCCAUCGCUCAACGGAUAAAAGCUACCCUGGGGAUAACAGGCUAAUCUCUCCCAAGAGUUCAUAUCGACGGGGAGGUCUGGCACCUCGAUGUCGGCUCAUCACAUCCUGGAGCUGGAGUAGGUUCCAAGGGUUGGGCUGUUCGCCCAUUAAAGUGGUACGCGAGCUGGGUUCAAAACGUCGUGAGACAGUUUGGUUCAUAUCCAUCGCGGGCGCAAGAAGUUUGAGGGAGGCUGCUCCUAGUACGAGAGGACCGGAGUGGACGGAUCAACGGUGUACCAGUUGUCACGCCAGUGGCACGGCUGGAAAGCCGCAUCCGGAAAGGAUAAACGCUGAAAGCAUCUAAGCGUGAAGCCCGUCCCGAGAUGAGACUUCUCAUCAGCAAUGAGUAAGACCCCUUAAAGACGAUGAGGUUGAUAGGCUGUGAGUGGAAGUGGCGCAAGUCAUGGAGCGACGCAGUACUAAUAGGUCGAGGUCUUAGUU
This 1698-nucleotide ribosomal RNA is filed under the name metagenome. RNAcentral describes it as "bacterial LSU rRNA". It matches the Rfam family "Bacterial large subunit ribosomal RNA", at positions 1243 to 2925 of the family's 2925-position model. The record is from RNAcentral.